Non-coding RNA from Pogona vitticeps (central bearded dragon), 1645 nucleotides. The record is from RefSeq and is a predicted model, not a curated record. NCBI's taxonomy places the organism in Eukaryota, Metazoa, Chordata, Lepidosauria, Squamata, Agamidae.
GUGCUUCGUUGCAUCCAGUUGGGUAAAGAGCAAGUUAAAUGAAUGAUUUGCUCUCCUUCAGUCAAACUUAAGUUGGAUGUAAAACGAGCCUUUGGGAAGCUGAAAGAGAGGGACCAGUGCAACUAACACAGGCAUGUACACGGUGCCUGCUCCAAAGAACCAGCUGGUUGCAAGGGAAGUUGCAUCGUAAAAAGAUUUUGGCUAUGUGACUACAUUGAAGUUGGUCAAAGUGAUGGAAAACUCCAUUCAUAGCUACCAGAAAUACAUAAGCCUGAGGAAGAUGAUUCAACAUCCUUGCCAGGCACGUACACACACACUUUAACAGGGCUGUUCAGACAAGUUCCCUUUCUACCUCCUCUUCAAGCCACAGAAUGAAUGAAUGCUUCGUUACAGCCAUCCAGAAAAAAUUAAGAGACAUAAAAAAAGAGUGCCUUUUUAAAAAAACCACACAUUCUGAAACCUGCUGCCAAGUCUUCAGCUUCUUCUUCGACUCAGCUUUUCAUAUGUUUUAUCUAUAUUAACUUGCCUCAGCUGAUUAUCCUAGCAAAUUAUAGCUUCAAGGCAUGCAGUUAGAGCAUGUCAUAAAAUGGCCCAUCCACAACACAUUUACAAUACAUAGAAUAGAGUUGGGCAGUUGCUUUAGAAAGCAAAUUGGUGGUGCUUGACUAACUAUUGGUUACCUACUUUAUCAGCCAAGUAAUGAUAAGCUGAAAAUUUAUGCUAGCAGAUUUCAACAGCCUAGUGCUGGAUUUAUGGCUAUUUAAGAGUUCAGACAGAAAGCAGCAAAGAGAACCCUACAAGACAUCCUUGAAGCUAAUUUUUAUAUGUGCAGUUCUGGGUAGCCAUUAAGGGGGAGUCAUUUGAAUUUGCAUAGUGCGAGAAGAAGAUGCAGUGACUUCAGAAAGAGAAGGAGGAAGUCUACCAAUCUACAUGUAGAUCUAAACAACAGAAGAAAAAGAAAAUGUACUUUAUCUAUAUUCCUGUUACACUAUUACUAGGUCAGAUCACUUGCUAGUUGUUAAUUUUUGUUGGUGCUUUAUUCCAGUAAUCUGGAGAGAGGGCUUGUAUCACAGUGAUGUGGGAUAGUAGUAGCCCUUUUUGGAUCUCUGCAGGGUGUCGCUUACCCACUGCUACACAUUAAGAGAAGAUUUUGCCCACAUUGGAAAAUUUUGCCCUCAGUGUAAGUUUGUUUUUGCUGGUUGGAGUGAACAAUAAAUAUUUCUUCAAGCAAGGAAAAGUUAAAAAAAGUAUGAUCACUGGAUCUGGAAGUACUUGUGUAUUAUUCACACUAGAUUAAGACAGAAUGACAAAGAUGAAACAAAGAUGCUUUGCUCAUGGAAAACACCUCUGUCUGGUUUUAGGGAAUCCCCUUCAGGCCGUUUUACAGGGGCCAAACUCAUUCAAAAGUGCUCCCAUCCAGCUAGCAUGAGGGGAUGAUGAGGAUGCUGGGAAAGUAGGGGACAAGGAAGUUAACGUCUAGCAAUUUCUUCCUGCUAACAGAAAAGUGAAUACCUGUUGAUGUGAGGAGAGGACACAUGUCAAUAUUAUGAGUAUAAGAGCUCUUUAGGAUGGGAGUGAGCAUCCUGUUAAUGUCAUGGGCACUGGGAAAGAUUUAAUUUGAAAAGCCAUAUCUCCUUUCCAUUCA